GGAUAAGGAGACUGACUGGUACUCCUGAGGUGGUGUGUUCGAGCCUUUUUUGGGACAAGGUGAAUUUUGAAGUCUAGUGUCUAGACAUGAAAUUGAAAGAGGAAACAAAUGGUAUAAUCAUGUGUGUCCAAGUGGCUCAGGGGAUGAGAACACUGACUGGAACUCGUGAGGUCACAGGUUCGAGUCCAACCUUGCCCACUUCUUGGUGAAUUUUGAAGGUCUAGAGACUAAAAAGUACAGCGAUAUGUGAAAAAAAAAACACAUUUCUCUUGUGUGUCCACAUGGCUCACGGGAUAAGGAGACUGACUGGUACUCCUGAGGUGGAGUGUUCCAACCUUUUUUGGGACAAGGUGAAUUUUGAAGUCUAGUGUCUAGACAAGAAAGUGAAAGAGGAAACAAGUGGUAUAAUCCUGUAUGUCCAAGUGGCUCAGAUGAUAAGUACACUGACUGGAACUCUUGAGGUCAUAGGUUCGAGUCCUACGUUACCUAGUUUUUGGUGAAUUUUAAAGUCUUGAGUCCACAAAGGACAGCGAUAUGUGAAAAAAAACCUGAUUGUCUUGUGUGCCAACAUGGCUCACGGGAUAAGGAGACUGGCUGGUACUCCUGAGGUGGUGUGUUCGAGCCUUUUUUGGGACAAGGUGAAUUUUGAAGUCUAGUGUCUAGACAGUAAAGUGAAAGAGGAAACAAAUGGUAUAAUCCUGUGUGUCCAAGUGGCUCAGGGGAUAAGAACACUGACUGGAACUCCUGAGGUCACAGGUUCGAGUCCAACCUUGCCCACUUCUUGGUGAAUUUUGAAGGUCUAGAGUCUAAAAAGUACAGUGAUAUAUGAAAAAAAACAUAAUUGUCUUGUGUGUCCACAUGGCUCACGGGAUAAGGAGACUGACUGGUACUCCUGAGGUGGUGUGUUUGAGCCUUUUUUGGGACAAGGUGAAUUUUGAAGUCUAGUGUCUAGACAGGAAAGUGAAAGAGGAAAGAAGUGGUAUAAUCCUGUGUCUCCAAGUGGCUCAGGGGAUAAGAAGACUGACUGGGACUCCUGAGGUCAUAGGUUCAAGUCCUACCUUGCCCACUUCUAUUUUGAAGGUCUAGAGUCUACAAAGUACAGUGAUAUAUGUAAAAAAAACAUGAUUGUCUCGUGUGUCCACAUGAGUCAGUGG
This 1154-nucleotide long non-coding RNA is filed under the name Xyrichtys novacula (pearly razorfish). Lineage: Eukaryota; Metazoa; Chordata; Actinopteri; Labriformes; Labridae. The record is from RNAcentral.